CGUAAUUUACCUAAAAGCCUCGAGGCCCAUUUUUGUUUAACUUCAUUCUUUUCACUCUGUAAAAAGAAAGAAAGCAAAAAAAGAAAUUAAAAUACAAUACAAACACGAAAGAAAACUAGAAAGAUAAUUAGUUAAUCACCAAGAAGAUUAAUAAAGAAAAACAAAAAAUUCUAAUCAAAGGGUUGACCGGAAAGAGAAAAUCAAAUAGACUGACAUCUAUUGAGAGAAAGAGUUAAAGUCGCUCGCCAUUGUUUCUACAACUAAAAGGAGAAAGUGAUUAACUAAUUUAUAGAAUUUUUUUUAAUUCUAAUUUUUAAUUUUUUUCUGUAAUAAUUUAUUUCUUAUUCGCAAUUACGAUUAACCAUGAGCUUGGGAUCCAAGUGUUUCUUUGAUUGUAAAACAAUUGGUGGUGAUGAAAUUUCGAUCAACAUGGUGAACAAUCGUUGGUAACAAUCAAUUGGACCAUAAAGUGUAUAAUCAAGCAACAUCCAUAUUCACCCAAUCACACAGGCAAACAUUGGAUUUAACCAUAUGCUUGAUAAGCUUUUACACUGAACAUGCUGAUGGUUGGGAUAAGAUUUUAAAUUGUUGAUGAUGAUGGCGAUGGCGAAAGAUGAAGUAUACGAUGAAAUGCUGUUUCUAAAAUAGACUGUGAAGAAAGUGAAUUUAUUUACAGAAGAGAUGAAGAUGAAGAAGAAGAAGAAGAAGAAGAUGAAGAAGAAAACAGUUUGAUGUAGAUAAAUAUUCUGCGUAACUUUUUAAAAAAAAGGAUAACUGAUCAUAAAAAUGUCAUCUACUUUUCCUUAAGACAUUCCUAACAGUAGUAAGAAUCUUUAUCUUCAUCAUCUUCAUCAUCAUCUUCAUCUUCUUACGAUUAUUAUGAAGAUAAUAGUGCUACUGUUAUAUACUAUUUAAGAUUUUUUCUUUUCACUCCCUGAUUGCCCAUCGUUUGAAUAUUAGUAUAUUAUUGGUGAUAAUUAUCAUCUUAAUAGUAUAUUUUAUGUUGGUAAAUUUUGGGUUACAAAUCUGUGAAUUGAUUGAGUGAAGUUAAACAUAGUUAAUAAUGAUAAUUACCAUUAUUAUCUUCAUCUUAUCCUUCAUAUUUAUCAUCAUCAUCUUCAAUAAUCUACGCACACAAAUGUCAAAAAGGAAACUGCAUUUAUCAUUAAAUGCUAACUAUUGAUUACCGUUGAUGAUUAAGAUUCUACUUGUCAACUUUUCCUCUUAAUCUUUUAAAAUGGUUAAUAGUGAACUUCCUAAGGAAAAAUAACGGAGUUAACACUUUGAUUGGAUUUUACUUUAUUAUCACCAACAACUUUUAAUCAUUUCAGACCUUGAUUGUCAUUAAUAAAUGAUUUUAAUUUCCCUCUAUUUUUAUUCAGAAAAUUGUCAACAAUCAACGAAUCAUAUGAGAUGUAUAACCUAAUUACGAAUGGAAAAAUUGUUCAACAAAAAAAAUGAGGAACACUGAUAAUAAUUACAAUUAAUCGUGAAGACAAUCUAAUUACUUGUGAUCAAAAAUAAGGGCGAUGGAUUUGAUUUAUUAUCGAAAAUCAUUUAAAUACAAUGAAUUUAGCAACGGAUUAGCUGGAUGAUAAACCGUCAAGUCAACAAUUGGGAUGAUUAUUGUUCCUUUUCUUUUGUUUAUCCUUCCUGAACUCAGAGAGAAACGAUAACACCAAACGAGCAGAGAGAAAAUAAUAGAUUUAAAAAAAAGAGGAAGAUGAUGAGGAUGGAGAAGACGUCGAGAUGGAAUACAUAAAAAAAGGAGAAAGAGCUAUUUCUGGACCUGAGGUCGUAUGAGAUGUGAAAAAGGGGAUAAAAGAGAGAGAACGAAGAUGAAGAUGAAGAUUGAGGAUGAUAAUGAUUACGAGAGUAUAAGUGAGAGAGAGAGAGGAUAAUGUUAAAUCUCUGAACGUUUUCUUAUCCGUGGCUACCAGAGAAAGAGAAAGAAGGAGAAUUAAGCAAACGCAAUGGAAUCAGAUCAACUUCAUUGAUAAAUCCUUUCAUCAUCAUCAUCAUCAUCAUCAUCUUAGUAGAAAAUAAAAAACAAGAAGAUUCAGGAUUUCAAGAGAUGCAGAGGAAAAAUCAACCAAGCGAAGAAGAAGGAAAAUGAAGAGAAAAAGAUGUGAUUCGUAUCAUCAUCAUCAUCAUCUCGAUAUGCUCACUAGCUGUGUUUCUCUUUCACCUUCUCACCCAGAUGAUAAAGAAGAUAAAGAUGCUUAAAGAUGAGGAUGGAAAGAUGAUGAUGAGAAUGAGAAUGUUCGUAAAGGCAACCGACUACGAAGGUAGAAUUGGAUGGAAGCCUAAAUCAUCUUCUGCUUUUCUUUCGCCAUCAUCUUCGUCAUUUCAUCUUUUUUAUCAUCACCAACAUCAUCUUCUUCUGUCAUUUGAAUAAUGAAUCGCCUGAAGGUCUAUAAAAAUCAUAAACAACAACAACAAACAAAGAGAAAUGAUCAAACAUCACAUCGAACCUGGAAAACUUCAUCAUCGACUUAAUCAUCAUCAUCUUUAACAAAUGUGGUUUAAUUUUUUUUCUUUACAUUUCUCUUGAUAAUUAAUUACUCCAUCACCAUGAUACAUAUAUUUAUUAUAAUCAUAUAAUCAUGAUGAUUAACUUCAUCAUGAUUUAACUUCCUUAUUAUAAAUAUCUAAGGAAAGGCAAAAAUCUUAAUCUUUGGGAGUUUUCAACAUGGAAGAAAAUUUUAACGAACUGAUACUUCAUUAACUUUGAUUGAUGAGAGAGAGUCGAAAGGUUUUCGAGAUGAUGAUGACGACGAAGGAGAAGAUUUUUCGACAAUCAUGGAAUGCAUAUGAUGAUGAAAAAAUGAUCAACGUCAACAAGAUGGAAAAGUUCAACAUGGAGAAAAUUCUGACCAUGACGAAUGUUUUUUUCCCCUGAUAAAUAUUACAUUUUAUUUGAAAGUGUUUAUAUCUCUGAAUUUAUAGGUUAGGAUGAUGAAGAUGAUGAAGUUUUGGAGUGAAAAUGAUGAUGAUGAUUCUCUUGAAACGUUUCGUUGAAAAUCCUUACGUUGGAGUGAAAUUGUUUCAUUCGUUUCGUUGAGAAGAUCAGAGGAGAAGAAAAAAAAGAUUUCGUUUCGAACAAAAAUUUUCUUUUUCUUCUCUCUGUCUAUUUUAUCAUUCUCAUCAUUUUCCAUCUUCAUUUAUCUCUCUUCAUGUUCUCAUGAAAUUAACAGAGUUACUUGUUGUUCAUUUGAAUAUAACCGUGAAGAUGAACAUUUUAAUCUAAUCUUUUUCUUCCUCUUCUUCUAGUUGAUUGUUAUUCAUCUUAAUCAUCAUCAUCAUCAUCAUCUUCAUCUUCUUCAUCUUCUCCUUCAUCUCCAUCUCCAUCUUCAUCAUCUUAUGUUUAUUUUCAAUCUUCCUUUGUAUGGUUAUCAUCAUCAUCAUCGUAAGUGAGUCAGUUUAAAAUAAUAAUGAUAAUAUUAUUAUAAAUGUUUCGCUGAUAAACAUUUUUAAUUGUAAUUAAUUAAAUGUAUCAAAAGUUUUGUAUAUUUGAAAAGUAUUAGAUAAAGAUAUCAAGUGUAUUUGAUGGUUCACUACUUGAGUUAAUCAACUAAUCACAUAAUCAAACUAAUCAACUUGAAUUGAUUCCUCUUGUUAAACCAGACAAAUAAUAUUAACAAUCAAGCAAAACAAUCAUACAAUUAAAACAAUUAAAAAGAGAUAGAGGAAAACAA
Panonychus citri (citrus red mite) is the source of this 3698-nucleotide long non-coding RNA. RefSeq lists it as uncharacterized. The record is from RefSeq and is a predicted model, not a curated record. NCBI's taxonomy places the organism in Eukaryota, Metazoa, Arthropoda, Arachnida, Trombidiformes, Tetranychidae. The transcript is spliced from 4 exons.